AACGAACGCUGGCGGCAUGCCUAACACAUGCAAGUCGAACGAGACCUUCGGGCCUAGUGGCGCACGGGUGCGUAACGCGUGGGAACCUGCCCUUAGGUUCGGAAUAACUCCCCGAAAGGGGUGCUAAUACCGGAUAAUGUCUUCGGACCAAAGAUUUAUCGCCUUUGGAUGGGCCCGCGUUGAAUUAGCUAGUUGGUAGGGUAAAAGCCUACCAAGGCGACGAUCCAUAGCUGGUCUGAGAGGAUGAUCAGCCACACUGGGACUGAGACACGGCCCAGACUCCUACGGGAGGCAGCAGUGGGUAAUAUUGGACAAUCGGCGAAAGCCUGAUCCAGCAAUGCCGCGUGAGUGAUGAAGGCCUUAGGGUUGUAAAGCUCUUUUACCCGGGAUGAUAAUGACAGUACCGGGAGAAUAAGCUCCGGCUAACUCCGUG
This 433-nucleotide ribosomal RNA is filed under the name uncultured bacterium. Its description in RNAcentral is "partial 16S ribosomal RNA". It matches the Rfam family "Bacterial small subunit ribosomal RNA", at positions 29 to 507 of the family's 1533-position model. The record is from RNAcentral.